AGCAGCCGCGGUAAUUCCAGCUCCAAUAGCGUAUAUUAAAGUUGUUGCAGUUAAAAAGCUCGUAGUUGAAUUUCGAGAUCAAAUUGUUGGUCGUGCCUUGGUACGCACUGGCAUUAUUGGUUUCUCCCUUCUGACGAACCAUGAUGUCAUUAAUUUGGUGUCUUGGGGAAUCAGGACUGUUACUUUGAAAAAAAUUAGAGUGUUUAAAGCAGGCUCACGCUUGAAUACAUUAGCAUGGAAUAAUGAAAUAGGACGUUUGAUUCUAUUUUGUUGGUUUCUAGGAUCGACGUAAUGAUUAAUAGGGAUAGUUGGGGGCAUUAGUAUUCAAUUGUCAGAGGUGAAAUUCUUGGAUUUAUUGAAGACUAACUACUGCGAAAGCAUUUGCCAAGGAUGUUUUCAUUAAUCAAGAACGAAAGUUAGGGGAUCGAAGACGAUCAGAUACCGUCGUAGUCUUAACCAUAAACUAUGCCGACUAGGGAUCGGAUGAUGUUAAUUUUUUAAUGACUCAUUCGGCGCCUUA
RNAcentral lists this unclassified non-coding RNA (520 nucleotides) under uncultured Glomus. RNAcentral's name for it is "SSU rRNA". It matches the Rfam family "Eukaryotic small subunit ribosomal RNA", at positions 569 to 1090 of the family's 1831-position model. Lineage: Eukaryota; Fungi; Glomeromycota; Glomeromycetes; Glomerales; Glomeraceae. The record is from RNAcentral.